This 592-nucleotide ribosomal RNA is filed under the name Wolbachia sp. Its description in RNAcentral is "bacterial SSU rRNA". It matches the Rfam family "Bacterial small subunit ribosomal RNA", at positions 220 to 829 of the family's 1533-position model. Lineage: Bacteria; Pseudomonadati; Pseudomonadota; Alphaproteobacteria; Rickettsiales; Anaplasmataceae. The record is from RNAcentral.
AUUAGAUGAGCCUAUAUUAGAUUAGCUAGUUGGUGGGGUAAUAGCCUACCAAGGUAAUGAUCUAUAGCUGAUCUGAGAGGAUGAUCAGCCACACUGGAACUGAGAUACGGUCCAGACUCCUACGGGAGGCAGCAGUGGGGAAUAUUGGACAAUGGGCGAAAGCCUGAUCCAGCCAUGCCGCAUGAGCGAAGAAGGCCUUUGGGUUGUAAAGCUCUUUUAGUGAGGAAGAUAAUGACGGUACUCACAGAAGAAGUCCUGGCUAACUCCGUGCCAGCAGCCGCGGUAAUACGGAGAGGGCUAGCGUUAUUCGGAAUUAUUGGGCGUAAAGGGCGCGUAGGCUGGUUAAUAAGUUAAAAGUGAAAUCCCGAGGCUUAACCUUGGAAUUGCUUUUAAAACUAUUAAUCUAGAGAUUGAAAGAGGAUAGAGGAAUUCCUGAUGUAGAGGUAAAAUUCGUAAAUAUUAGGAGGAACACCAGUGGCGAAGGCGUCUAUCUGGUUCAAAUCUGACGCUGAAGCGCGAAGGCGUGGGGAGCAAACAGGAUUAGAUACCCUGGUAGUCCACGCUGUAAACGAUGAAUGUUAAAUAUGGGGAG